AUUGAACGCUAGCGGGAUGCUUUACACAUGCAAGUCGAACGGCAGCGCGGACUUCGGUCUGGCGGCGAGUGGCGCACGGGUGAGUAAUGUAUCGGAACGUGCCCAGUAGCGGGGGAUAACUACGCGAAAGCGUAGCUAAUACCGCCUACGCCCUACGGGGGAAAGCAGGGGAUCGUAAGACCUUGCACUAUUGGAGCGGCCGAUAUCGGAUUAGCUAGUUGGUGAGGUAACGGCUCACCAAGGCGACGAUCCGUAGCUGGUGUGAGAGGACGACCAGCCACACUGGGACUGAGACACGGCCCAGACGCCUACGGGAGGCAGCAGUGGGGAAUUUUGGACAAUGGGGGCAACCCUGAUCCAGCCAUCCCGCGUGUGCGAUGAAGGCCUUCGGGUUGUAAAGCACUUUUGGCAGGAAAGAAACGUCGCGGGCUAAUACCCCGUGGAACUGACGGUACCUGCAGAAUAAGCACCGGCUAACUACGUG
This 484-nucleotide ribosomal RNA is filed under the name uncultured bacterium. RNAcentral describes it as "partial 16S ribosomal RNA". It matches the Rfam family "Bacterial small subunit ribosomal RNA", at positions 29 to 507 of the family's 1533-position model. The record is from RNAcentral.